GGUGGCUCUCGCGAUUUCUCACGAGUUACAAAAUGUCAGCGUCCAGAAGUAUUUCGGGAACUUGGAGAGAUGUUGGGUUUGAAGAUGGGAAGGGAAUGCUUCGAAAAUUUCGCGAUGACAAUGACAGAAGAAGUGAAGAGGUCGUGGAAAUAUACGAAGAAUGUUUAACUUCAAAAAUGAACAAGUUAGGAAAUGAAAAGUCGGUUGGUGCUACGAGCAAGUUUGCUUGGCGCACUCGAGUGUUCGAG
Long non-coding RNA from Priapulus caudatus, 248 nucleotides. RefSeq lists it as uncharacterized. NCBI's taxonomy places the organism in Eukaryota, Metazoa, Priapulida, Priapulimorpha, Priapulimorphida, Priapulidae. The record is from RefSeq and is a predicted model, not a curated record. The transcript has 3 exons.